GACGAACGCUGGCGGCGUGCUUAACACAUGCAAGUCGAACGGAAAGGCCCUGCUUUUGUGGGGUUCUCGGGUGGCGAACGGGUGAGUAACACGUGAGUAACCUGCCCUUGACUUUGGGAUAACUUCACGAAACUGGGGCUACUACCGGAUAGGAGCUCCUGCUGCAUGGUGGGGGUUGGAACGUUUCGGCGGUUGGGGAUGGACUCGCGGCUUAUCAGCUUGUUGGUGGGGUAGUGGCUUACCAAGGCUUUGACGGGUAGCCGGCCUGAGAGGGUGACCGGCCACAUUGGGACUGAGAUACGGCCCAGACUCCUACGGGAGGCAGCAGUGGGGAAUAUUGCACAAUGGGCGGAAGCCUGAUGCAGCAACGCCGCGUGCGGGAUGACGGCCUUCGGGUUGUAAACCGCUUUCGCCUGUGACGAGGCGUGAGUGACGGUAAUGGGUAAAGAAGCACCGGCUAACUACGUG
This 468-nucleotide ribosomal RNA is filed under the name uncultured bacterium. Its description in RNAcentral is "partial 16S ribosomal RNA". It matches the Rfam family "Bacterial small subunit ribosomal RNA", at positions 28 to 507 of the family's 1533-position model. The record is from RNAcentral.